UACCGAUUGAAGUUUGAGCUAGUAGUGCAGUAUUUGUCUGUCAUUUCUUUCUUGCUUCAAAGGUUCUACCGGGCAUAUGCCCAAUUCACUGAUAGGAAAUGUAAGUAAUGGCAACAGGUACUGUAAAGUGGUUCAACGACGCUAAAGGUUUUGGUUUCAUCACUCCGGACGAAGGUGGUGAAGAUUUGUUCGCGCACUUCUCCGCGAUCGAAUCCAAUGGCUUCAAGUCGCUCAAAGAAAAUCAGCGCGUUUCGUUCGAAGUCACGACUGGCCCGAAGGGCAAGCAGGCUUCCAAGAUCCAGCCGCAAUAAGCUGAAUCUUACGCUCUAAAAAAUCCCCGGCUUGCCGGGGAUUUUUUU
This 359-nucleotide small RNA is filed under the name Noviherbaspirillum sp. Root189. RNAcentral's name for it is "cspA thermoregulator". It matches the Rfam family "cspA thermoregulator". The record is from Rfam by way of RNAcentral. Lineage: Bacteria; Pseudomonadati; Pseudomonadota; Betaproteobacteria; Burkholderiales; Oxalobacteraceae.